RNAcentral lists this unclassified non-coding RNA (226 nucleotides) under uncultured fungus. RNAcentral's name for it is "sequence contains ITS1, 5.8S rRNA gene". Lineage: Eukaryota; Fungi. The record is from RNAcentral.
UCUCCGUAGGUGAACCUGCGGAGGGAUCAUUACUGAGUGAGGGCCUUCGGGCUCGACCUCCAACCCUUUGUGAACACAACUUGUUGCUUCGGGGGCGACCCUGCCGUUUCGACGGCGAGCGCCCCCGGAGGCCUUCAAACACUGCAUCAUUGCGUCGGAGUUAAAGUAAAUUAAACAAAACUUUCAACAACGGAUCUCUUGGUUCCAGCAUCGAUGAAGAACGAGC